Long non-coding RNA from Limulus polyphemus (Atlantic horseshoe crab), 385 nucleotides. RefSeq lists it as uncharacterized. The transcript is spliced from 3 exons. The record is from RefSeq and is a predicted model, not a curated record. NCBI's taxonomy places the organism in Eukaryota, Metazoa, Arthropoda, Merostomata, Xiphosura, Limulidae.
UUAAAAACUUUUUAAGGGUAAAGAAUUCCUUUAUGUCAGAUAAAACUCACAAACGAUGUUUUGUUCCAGAACACUUUCAAUAUGUUUUCUCUGUUUUAUUAGCUGUAUCUAUUUGGUAUCUGGAGCUUUCAUGGUAUAUUUGGAGACAAUCUCCUACACCAUCUUUUCCAAAUACUAUGAGACCGAAAACUAUUCAACUUCUCCUGCAUUGUUCACAGUAGCCAGUUUGAUUAUAUUAAUCCUUCCUUUCCUAGGUUGCUGUUGGAUCUAUAGAAAGGAGGUGUGCAUACUUAAGGCGUUUGCUUUUUUCAUUUCCAUUACUUUUGUCCUGAACGUAGCAGGAGGAAUAACAGGUUUUGUCUACAAGAAAAAUGUAAGUAAAGCA